ACAAGUGACAACAGAGUGUCUCAAAAUAAGUCACACGAGAAACAAAACAUCCAGCAUGUGUUGUUUCCAAUUUAGAGUCACCUGACCCCAGAUAAACUUUUAAUACAUGGACAGCCUUUCCAGUUGUUAAUAAAAAUGAGCUGCGGGUGCUGCAGAGAAGCGUGUGAGAACUGCAGGGAGAAUUGCAAUCAUGAAUGUACAUGCAGUUGUCAUCAGAGAGACCAAACUACUGAAUCAUGGAGGACUAAAUGUGGCAGAUUUAUGGAAUGUUCCUAAAUGGUUUAAGCUUAUCCUGAAGCGAACAUAUCUUCACAGCAUUUCCUCUGAAGAAGAAUGAAGAUGAAGAUCAGUCUUUCGUGACUGUAAUGAUUUUGACUGUUCAUUUUAGAAAAAUGCCAACUUAAAUUUGCCUUUAUUUUAUGAAU
Molecule: long non-coding RNA, 425 nt
Organism: Labeo rohita (rohu)
Lineage: Eukaryota; Metazoa; Chordata; Actinopteri; Cypriniformes; Cyprinidae
Exons: 3
Source: RefSeq, a predicted model, not a curated record